AAAAGUUAGAUUAUGUGGUGUCAAGAAAAUCAUAUGAAGCAGCAACUUUUAGGCAGUUAAUUGGUCUCACCAUUUGACACUAAAUAUCCUGCAGAGUCUGGAUGUUGCCGGGAUUAAUUGACUUGCUGCCCAGGAGCGCUGAACUUAGCUUCAUCCUACUUCUUGGCAAGGAUCGAAGGUACGGCGCACCUGCUGCUGGUACUCGCUUGUCCAGUCUGGAGAAUACAUCCUCAUGUAGGAGACACAAUGGGGUGCUCUCCGAGCAGGAAUGACCGAGGCAAGCCACUGGCACCGGGUUGCUGACUCCUGCUGCUCUCAUUCUAGUUCGAGCUACAGAUCAUGAAUCAUGAGGAAGCAAUAUACAUGUCAAGUUGUUAACUUCUCAGAGCACGUAUAUUAGUAUGGACUGCACUAUAGACAUAUCCUACAAUAGGUUGUCUUUUCGGUUCUCUGCAUAGACUUUUGAUUGGAUGAAACAUUAAGUAUCUAUUGAUUGGCACUAAUUAUUCUGUGUUC
Triticum aestivum (bread wheat) is the source of this 516-nucleotide long non-coding RNA. RefSeq lists it as uncharacterized. The transcript is spliced from 2 exons. The record is from RefSeq and is a predicted model, not a curated record. NCBI's taxonomy places the organism in Eukaryota, Viridiplantae, Streptophyta, Magnoliopsida, Poales, Poaceae.